GGUGUAGUCAAGUACUUAUCAAGUCAGUGUGUGUGUCAAGAUGGAAUUGAUCACUCUGAAUUGGUAGGAGAUAUGCAUCAGUGUAUUUCAAUUUAGUAAAAUCUUGAUUAGGAUAAUCCAUAAGAUAGAUUUGAAAAAUUAAAAUACAAUGUGGUUAACUUAAUUAGGGUUGAUAGUUAAAUCCUACGUCACCUUAAGCAUUUGGGUUAAAGAGAUGAAUUAUACGAUAACCA
Molecule: long non-coding RNA, 233 nt
Filed under: Elaeis guineensis (African oil palm)
Lineage: Eukaryota; Viridiplantae; Streptophyta; Magnoliopsida; Arecales; Arecaceae
Description: long non-coding RNA (EGUI_LNC064017)
Source: RNAcentral